Molecule: unclassified non-coding RNA, 394 nt
Filed under: uncultured fungus
Lineage: Eukaryota; Fungi
Description: sequence contains ITS1
Source: RNAcentral
AGGUGAGCGAAGCGGUCUCGGUCACACCGUUCGUAUCGACGGGGUAGUCAGUGACGAUGGUCACGUCACCGUUGAUCUGCCAACCAUUCAGAUCGAGGCCGUUCGCUUGAGUCACCGGGAAGGAAGCGUGUCGCGGGACGUAGUACGUCCCGACCUUCGGGCCGUCCGGCAGUGCGUUGAACUGCGCGGGCGUCAGCUCGUAGAAGGUAGCCGGGUCGUAGUUGUUGCGGUUGAAGUGGAACUCAGGCAUCGACAACGGCUGUGGACCUUGCGUGCAUGCCUUGAUAUGGCCGCCUGUGGUCCCGGCAUAGCUGUCGUUCGCCCACGUCGUGAGCGUGCCGGUGAUCGCGCCGGAUCCGAUCGCUUUGUAGAGCGAUUGCUGUGAUCCAGCCGG